This 465-nucleotide ribosomal RNA is filed under the name Vreelandella stevensii. Its description in RNAcentral is "partial 16S ribosomal RNA". It matches the Rfam family "Bacterial small subunit ribosomal RNA", at positions 338 to 795 of the family's 1533-position model. The record is from RNAcentral. Lineage: Bacteria; Pseudomonadati; Pseudomonadota; Gammaproteobacteria; Oceanospirillales; Halomonadaceae.
CCUACGGGGGGCUGCAGUGGGGAAUAUUGGACAAUGGGCGAAAGCCUGAUCCAGCCAUGCCGCGUGUGUGAAGAAGGCCUUCGGGUUGUAAAGCACUUUCAGUGGGGAAGAAAGCCUUGGGGCUAAUACCCUCGAGGAAGGACAUCACCCACAGAAGAAGCACCGGCUAACUCCGUGCCAGCAGCCGCGGUAAUACGGAGGGUGCGAGCGUUAAUCGGAAUUACUGGACGUAAAGCGCGCGUAGGCGGUCUGAUAAGCCGGUUGUGAAAGCCCCGGGCUCAACCUGGGAACGGCAUCCGGAACUGUCAGGCUAGAGUGCAGGAGAGGAAGGUAGAAUUCCCGGUGUAGCGGUGAAAUGCGUAGAGAUCGGGAGGAAUACCAGUGGCGAAGGCGGCCUUCUGGACUGACACUGACGCUGAGGUGCGAAAGCGUGGGUAGCAAACAGGAUUAGAUACCCGAGUAGUC